This 126-nucleotide small RNA is filed under the name Lonsdalea iberica. RNAcentral describes it as "RtT sRNA". It matches the Rfam family "RtT RNA". From Rfam's summary of the family: This family represents a bacterial cis-regulatory element known as RtT RNA. The exact function of RtT is unknown although it is thought that it may be involved in changing the cellular response in relation to amino acid starvation. The record is from RNAcentral. Lineage: Bacteria; Pseudomonadati; Pseudomonadota; Gammaproteobacteria; Enterobacterales; Pectobacteriaceae.
AGUUCGCACGCGUCGUGCGGGUGAGAAGCUGCGUUCAGGUUCGAGCCGAGCGAAGCGAGACAACAACGCGCAGCGUUGGCCCGCAGGGCGAGGCCGGAGGCCGAGUACAUCCUGCACGACCCACCA